UCCCGAAAUACCAGGCUGCUGAACACCAGACUCUCCCUGUAAGCCGCAGGCCAAUUAGUGUGGUGUUUCAGCAUUGUUAUCUGCCUGUCAUGGUGGGUUUCUCCUUCCUUCUCUCUGUUUGUCGAACCACAAACUGCUGCUGCUGAUGGGCCACGGGGCGCCGUGAGAGCCGCAGAGGAGACGGAUGGAGGACAGGAACAGAAAAAGAAGAUGGAUGAGCAGCAGGCUGUGGGGUGGAGAGAGAGGUUCUCAUCCACAUCACAUCUUAUGUGAUCUAGGGCAAUACACCUGGGAAAGAACCUUCUGGCAUGCCUGAUCCAUCCCUGGCAAUCUUCUGCUGAUAUGUCCAGGCAUCCAGCAUUCAUUGCGUCCAGGAGGGACAUUUGAUCAUGUGGAUGGUGGUCAUGAACCUUCCACCUCCAUGAGGAAAAGAAUUCCUCUAUGGGAAUGGGAAUGGGAAUGAGGAAUGGAGAGUAAGAUGGGAGGGAAAGUGACACCAUUCUGGGAUGUGCUGCAAACCACUCGGUGACAGCACGGGAGUGGUGAAAUGCCACAUUGUCCCAUACAAUUAGAAAUGUUGGCUGAUUUCUUCUCUCUGCAUCCCUUUCCUCACCUGGCACAACCCUUACAUAGAGAUCAUGCAGGAACGCAAGGAGACGUUCAGUUUUGUAUCAUGUUAUUGUUUUGAACAUAAGUUUACAGUUUUUUACAGUCGCUAGGACACAUUUCUC
Long non-coding RNA from Gasterosteus aculeatus aculeatus (three-spined stickleback), 731 nucleotides. Lineage: Eukaryota; Metazoa; Chordata; Actinopteri; Perciformes; Gasterosteidae. The record is from Ensembl.